This is a long non-coding RNA of Panicum virgatum (switchgrass), 1263 nucleotides long. RefSeq lists it as uncharacterized. NCBI's taxonomy places the organism in Eukaryota, Viridiplantae, Streptophyta, Magnoliopsida, Poales, Poaceae. The record is from RefSeq and is a predicted model, not a curated record. The transcript is spliced from 2 exons.
UGCGAAGCUGGCUCCCCGCCGCUAGAACCUCCACCACACCCACUGCGCGUGACGGCAGCGCUCCGCUGGCCGCGCAUCCGCCCCAGCCCCGCCGCCCGCGCAUAUGCACCACCCUCUGUGCGCGACGGCGGCGCUCUGGCGGCCGCGCGUCCACCCCAGCCCCCACAUGCGCGUUCUGGGAUGGCGGCGCCCCCCGCGUGUGUCUGCCUCAUGUGCGUCCGGGAUGGCGGCGCUCCCCGCGCACGUGCGCCUGUCCUCGAUGACCGUGCAACGCUAGUUGCUGCCGCCCUGAUCGGGCUCUUCUAGGUGUCAUCGUCGUCAGAAUCAUCAUCACCAAUAUAGUCAUCAACAGGUUCGGGAAUUGCUUCGCUACGCACUUGAUUAAUAAUGGCGGCAGAACCAGUUGUGCCUGCCCUAUCUUGUCUUGACCAGCUUAAGAAUUCCUGACCUUGGCCUGAUUCAUUCAUUUCUUGGAUUCCCACAUCAAGUGCAUCGGCGUCAUUUCCUGUGUCUAGCAUGGAAAACAAAUUUCUUGGUCUCACCAAAACAACAGUAGACCAUCCCGGCUUGUACACGAUAGGGACAUAAAACACUGGUUCAGCGUUUGAAGCAAGAAUGUAAGGUUCAUCUGAAUAUCUCAACAUGGAAGUAGCAAUGUCGAUAAUACCAUAUUUAUCCCUAGUGUACCCUCUGCUUCUGCUGGUACUGGUAGCUGGCACAUCAUACCAAUCACACUGAAACAAUAUAACUUCUUUUGCUUGUGGGAAUUCCAGUGAGAUUAUAUUUCUAAUGACUCCAUACCAGGUCAUGUUGCCUGUACUAUCGUCACCCUUCACAAGGACACCAGAAUUUUGUGUCAUGAGGCUUUUCUCUGUGGCAACUGUCCGAAAUAGCCAAUUAUUCAUGUGCACUAUUCAACACACGAGCUCGAGGGUCAGGUCCUUGAGAAAGGGCAUGCAUCAGUUUACUUGCUUCCCCUUUCUCGUAUAGUUUUGCUAUCUGCAAUUUAAAAAUCAAGUUAGACAUCUACCGGUUAAUUACUACGUCGGUCUGACCAUAAAGUGGAAUUUAAAAAUAUAAAAUAAUACUACAUACCUCGAUUUCAAACCAUCUUACAAAAUGCUCCUUGUGUCGUUUUUUAAUGUUGAUUGAACUAUCCCUUGUUAGUUGUGUCUUAUGCUCCCUACAUCAGAGUUCACCAAAUUAUUAGUUGAUGCCACAAACAAGCAGAUAAAAGAUAAAUUUAGUGGUAAAAAUUGCGAC